Molecule: ribosomal RNA, 433 nt
Filed under: uncultured bacterium
Lineage: Bacteria
Description: partial 16S ribosomal RNA
Rfam family: Bacterial small subunit ribosomal RNA
Source: RNAcentral
AACGAACGCUGGCGGCAUGCCUAACACAUGCAAGUCGAACGAAGCCUUCGGGCUUAGUGGCGCACGGGUGCGUAACGCGUGGGAAUCUGCCCCUUGCUUCGGAAUAACAGUUAGAAAUGACUGCUAAUACCGGAUGAAGUCUUCGGACCAAAGAUUUAUCGGCAAGGGAUGAGCCCGCGUAGGAUUAGGUAGUUGGUGGGGUAAAGGCCUACCAAGCCGACGAUCCUUAGCUGGUCUGAGAGGAUGAUCAGCCACACUGGGACUGAGACACGGCCCAGACUCCUACGGGAGGCAGCAGUGGGGAAUAUUGGACAAUGGACGAAAGUCUGAUCCAGCAAUGCCGCGUGAGUGAUGAAGGCCUUAGGGUUGUAAAGCUCUUUUACCAGGGAUGAUAAUGACAGUACCUGGAGAAUAAGCUCCGGCUAACUCCGUG